RNAcentral lists this ribosomal RNA (404 nucleotides) under uncultured bacterium. RNAcentral describes it as "bacterial SSU rRNA". It matches the Rfam family "Bacterial small subunit ribosomal RNA", at positions 355 to 776 of the family's 1533-position model. The record is from RNAcentral.
CAAGGAAUCUUCGGCACUGGGCGCAAGCCUGACCGAGCAACGCCGCGUGGAGGACGACGGCCUUCGGGUUGUAAACUCCUUUCAGCGGGGACGAAACGGACGGUACCCGCAGAAGCAGCCCCGGCUAACUCUGUGCCAGCAGCCGCGGUAAUACAGAGGGGGCAAGCGUUGUCCGGAUUUACUGGGCGUACAGCGCGCGCAGGCGGUCUCUGACGUGCCGUGUGACACGCCACUGCUUAACAGUGGAAGGCCACGGUAGACGCUGAGACUGGAGGCAGGGAGAGGGAUGUGGAAUACCCGGUGGAGCGGUGAAAUGCGUAGAGAUCGGGUGGAACACCAGCGGCGCAGGCGGCAUCCUGGUCCUGUACUGACGCUGAGGCGCGAGAGCGUGGGGAGCGAACCGG